RNAcentral lists this ribosomal RNA (236 nucleotides) under uncultured bacterium. Its description in RNAcentral is "partial 16S ribosomal RNA". It matches the Rfam family "Bacterial small subunit ribosomal RNA", at positions 102 to 334 of the family's 1533-position model. The record is from RNAcentral.
CGACGGGUGAGUAACACGUAUGCAAUCCACCUGUAACAGGGGAGUAACCCGGAGAAAUCCGACUAAUACCCAUAAUAUGGGCGCUCCGCAUGGAGAGUCCAUUAAAGAGAGCAAUCUUGGUUACAGACGAGCAUGCGCUCCAUUAGCCAGUUGGCGGGGUAACGGCCCACCAAAGCGACGAUGGAUAGGGGUUCUGAGAGGAAGGUCCCCCACAUUGGAACUGAGACACGGUCCAA